Molecule: ribosomal RNA, 700 nt
Filed under: uncultured bacterium
Lineage: Bacteria
Description: bacterial SSU rRNA
Rfam family: Bacterial small subunit ribosomal RNA
Source: RNAcentral
GCUUUUUCUACAAUCUAGUGGCAAAUGGGUGAGUAACGCGUAAACAACCUGCCCUACGGAUGGGGACAACAGCUGGAAACGGCUGCUAAUACCGAAUACGUUCCGAAAGUCGCAUGACUGUCGGAAGAAAGGAUGGCCUCUAUUUAUAAGCUAUCGCCGGAGGAGGGGUUUGCGUCUGAUUAGCUAGUUGGAGGGGUAACGGCCCACCAAGGCGACGAUCAGUAGCCGGUCUGAGAGGAUGAACGGCCACAUUGGAACUGAGACACGGUCCAGACUCCUACGGGAGGCAGCAGUAGGGAAUCUUCCGCAAUGGGCGAAAGCCUGACGGAGCAACGCCGCGUGAGUGAUGAAGGUCUUAGGAUCGUAAAACUCUGUUAUUAGGGAAGAACAAACGUGUAAGUAACUGUGCACGUCUUGACGGUACCUAAUCAGAAAGCCACGGCUAACUACGUGCCAGCAGCCGCGGUAAUACGUAGGUGGCAAGCGUUAUCCGGAAUUAUUGGGCGUAAAGCGCGCGUAGGCGGUUUUUUAAGUCUGAUGUGAAAGCCCACGGCUCAACCGUGGAGGGUCAUUGGAAACUGGAAAACUUGAGUGCAGAAGAGGAAAGUGGAAUUCCAUGUGUAGCGGUGAAAUGCGCAGAGAUAUGGAGGAACACCAGUGGCGAAGGCGACUUUCUGGUCUGUAACUGACGCUGAUGUGC